UCCCAAGGAACUGAGGCGCGGGCUGCUGCGAGGCCGGCGGACACACGGGCUGGAGGGAGCGCGCGGCCGUCCCCACUUGGCCUGGCUCCGGGAAGCCCGGGCGGCGAGCGCGGCGGACGCAGCCAGACUGUAGGCCCCGGGCAGGCGCGUUGGUGUGGGCCCCGGACCCCCGGCAGGCAGCAAGCGGGCGCCUGGGCACGGCGCGGCGGGGAAAAUGACCGCGGGCUCCUGCCCGCUCCUCCUGCUGUUCUCGCUCUCCGGCUCGCUCCGGGGUUUACAUGUGGUUGUGAUGGAAGUGCCAAGGAACUCCAAGGAUUGCUGACCAGGCAGAACAUACCAACCCUGAGAGGUAGCAAGACAUCAAGCCUCUGAAACUAAUUCCCUGAAGGACCUGGAGAAGAGGAGGGCAGAUUUGCAGGCCAUGGCGGAGAGCAGUGCUGCACCACAGGUCCUGGUGGAGGGCAGUGCUGUGGCCCUGCGGGUGAGGCUGGGCAUGCUGGGUGCCGGCUGUGGCCACGUGUGCACCUGGAACAAGGAGUGGUGUGAUGCCCUUAUGGUACAUGUUUGGUGCUGCCAAGGCCAGUCACUCCUCUCCUUUCCCCUGUUUAAGAGCAGUUCACAUUUUAUCCCUGCUUGAAGAAAUAUUGCUGAGUCUUUGCUGAAUGCAUGGCUAAGCCCUGCCAGUGCUGAGGUGGGAAGACAAAGGCCCUGCCCCCCAUGCAGGAUUGAGUCAGCAUUUUAUCAAUUCCUUUGUAAAACCUCCAGAAUCAGGUGGGACCGUUUGAUGGAAACAUGGCUCCCAUAAGCAUCUGACGUCACCAAGUGGAAGAUGUGUUGGACAAGAUUGAAAAACCAGCGAGUUAAUGUGAAGGGCUCACACAGCAGUUACUGUUGGAGCUGGAUGAUGCUGGCCUCCAGGUGGAGAAGGUCCACGGCCAAGCCCUCAUUUUGAUGAACAGCAGAGUGGUCUCCAGCAGGGAAUUAGUCAAACCCAAGCUAGCUGAACCUAACAGAAAUUUUGAGACGGUGUCUCAGCAUAUCAGAAUUGCCAAUCUCCCACGGGGGACCCAAUAGAGGACAUUUCUCAUGCCAAGGCAGACGUAGAGGAUGCAUCAAACAUCAAGUGUUUCAUUUCCUCAAGAAGAAGAGGAAAAGCUCCCCAGAAGCAGCUGAUGGUGGCAGUUACAAGUGACCAAGAGGAUGAGGAGACCCCACCUAAUGAUGAGGUGCCACGUGGACCAAGUGAAAAUGCCCUGAGUGCCUGUUAGAGGAGCCUCAUGGUGACACGGCAGAUGAGGACAUUCCAUCUAAUUCCAUGGUGGACUCAGAGUUGAGUGAAAAUGGUAUGUAUUUCGGAAUCACUUGCUGUAAAAAACCUCGAGAUUAUUAAAAAAAAACAUGGCUUUUGUGCUUGCCUUAGGCUGGAGAGGCACCCAGAUUCCAGCUUCCAGGUGGGAAUGAGGACAGGGGAUGUGAUUAUGCUGUAGGUAAAGAAAAAUGGUCAAGUUCUUCAGUUCUCGUAAGCAGCUCUGUUCAUUUAGGUGGUGAAUGUUGGCAUGUACAAGAAUUGGGAAUGUCUGUGUAAGUCUAUGUGGUGUCAUUAUGAAGGUAGUGAUGAGGGUGAGUGUGUGUGUUUCCCCAGAAACUUUUCCCACCAUCAUAGAACAAUAGUUAAGGAGGCUGAGAUGAUCUUAGAACAUGUCAAGGAGAUAGUGGCAUUUUGAUAGUGCUUCAUAUUGGGCAGGAGGAGUGAUAAGAGUCUAACAUUGAAAACUAGCAUGUAUUUUCAUACUAUUUGUAGAUUAUUUCCCAUUGCUUUGUGAUAUCUUUAGCUACAAAGCCAAGGACUCCCCCCAUUUUCUCCUACUUCUCCUCUUUGCCAGCCUCCUUCCAUCCCACAGAAGCUCAUUCUAUGCUUCUUCACUACCCACCUCCAUAUUGCUCUGACCUUGUCCAUAUCAAGCAAAGUGCCCUGAGUUAUCCAGGAGCAAUAACCCCAAUGUACUGACUUAGUCUGUGUCCUCCUAGCUCCCCCCAAGGGCCUGCUCAAGCAACUUCUGCAGGCCACAGCAGUAGAGGAGUCCCCAUAUUAUUCUGAGUGUUUUCUUUAACUACAGGUGGCCCGGAUAAUAAACCCCAAU
Choloepus didactylus (southern two-toed sloth) is the source of this 2141-nucleotide long non-coding RNA. RefSeq lists it as uncharacterized. The transcript is spliced from 13 exons. The record is from RefSeq and is a predicted model, not a curated record. NCBI's taxonomy places the organism in Eukaryota, Metazoa, Chordata, Mammalia, Pilosa, Megalonychidae.